RNAcentral lists this ribosomal RNA (312 nucleotides) under uncultured Pseudomonadota bacterium. RNAcentral's name for it is "bacterial SSU rRNA". It matches the Rfam family "Bacterial small subunit ribosomal RNA", at positions 30 to 351 of the family's 1533-position model. The record is from RNAcentral. Lineage: Bacteria; Pseudomonadati; Pseudomonadota.
AUUGAACGCUGGCGGCAUGCCUAACACAUGCAAGUCGAACGCGAAAGGGCUUUGGCCCGAGUAGAGUGGCGGACGGGUGAGUAACGCAUGGGAAUCUACCUCGCCGUGGGGGAUAACCCGGGGAAACUCGGGCUAAUACCGCAUACGACCUACGGGUGAAAGGGGGCUUCGGCUCUCGUGGCGAGAUGAGCUCAUGUCCGAUUAGCUGGUUGGCGGGGUAAAGGCCCACCAAGGCGACGAUCGGUAGCUGGUCUGAGAGGAUGAUCAGCCACACUGGGACUGAGACACGGCCCAGACUCCUACGGGAGGCUG